CUGCUGCCUCCCGUAGGAGUUUGGGCCGUGUCUCAGUCCCAAUGUGGCCGUUCACCCUCUCAGGCCGGCUACUGAUCGUUGCCUUGGUAGGCUUUUACCCCACCAACUAGCUAAUCAGACGCGGAACCAUCGUAUACCACCUCAGUUUUUCACACUGCUUCAUGCGAAGCUGUGCGCUUAUGCGGUAUUAGCACCUAUUUCUAAGUGUUAUCCCCCAGUAUACGGCAGGUUUUCCACGCGUUACUCACCCGUCCGCCA
RNAcentral lists this ribosomal RNA (258 nucleotides) under uncultured bacterium. RNAcentral's name for it is "partial 16S ribosomal RNA". The record is from RNAcentral.